UGCGGCAACUCAAUUAACACU
RNAcentral lists this non-coding RNA (21 nucleotides) under Arabidopsis thaliana (thale cress). Lineage: Eukaryota; Viridiplantae; Streptophyta; Magnoliopsida; Brassicales; Brassicaceae. The record is from RNAcentral.